GGUGGCUCAGCGGCUAAGCACUUGGCUGCUAAUCAAAAGGUCGGUGGUUCGAACCCACCAGCCACUC
This 67-nucleotide transfer RNA is filed under the name Loxodonta africana (African savanna elephant). It matches the Rfam family "tRNA". Rfam says of the family: Transfer RNA (tRNA) molecules are approximately 80 nucleotides in length. The record is from Rfam by way of RNAcentral. Lineage: Eukaryota; Metazoa; Chordata; Mammalia; Proboscidea; Elephantidae.